Molecule: long non-coding RNA, 495 nt
Organism: Monodelphis domestica (gray short-tailed opossum)
Lineage: Eukaryota; Metazoa; Chordata; Mammalia; Didelphimorphia; Didelphidae
Source: RefSeq, a predicted model, not a curated record
AAUAGCAUCUAGGGUGGCCAUUUAAGGACAGGGAAGAUUCUAGAAGGUAGACACGGCCAGGGGAACAACGACCACCAUACACAGCAAUGGUGCUUCGUGAUAUGAAGAGCUCUUCCCCACCCAACAAGUUCCUCCUUCUUACUCGGCUGUUAUUACCGCCCGUCGUUUGGGAUGGCAUGGAUGACUGGGCAUCCUUUUCCCAUCAGUCACCAGCAGCUUGGAAUUACUGCUUAAAGGGAACUUUUUCUGCCAGGGCGGAUCAGUAGGAGAGGGAAGCCAAAUCUUAACUACAGAACGAAGGACUACGGCGAAACUUCGUGAGAACGUCCUCAAAAUCAGACGAGUCUAUGCAGAUGGGAAAAGCAGAAGGUGCAGAUUCUGCGCAGGACUGCCAGAAGAGGGCACAGAGGUAGCUGUCCUUUUCAGACAACUUAGGUCUCUUCUCUUGAAUUUAAGGAGCAGACUAAAUGCCUAUCUGGGUGACUCAGUCACAAA